This 497-nucleotide ribosomal RNA is filed under the name uncultured bacterium. RNAcentral describes it as "partial 16S ribosomal RNA". It matches the Rfam family "Bacterial small subunit ribosomal RNA", at positions 28 to 507 of the family's 1533-position model. The record is from RNAcentral.
GAUGAACGCUGGCGGCGUGCCUAAUACAUGCAAGUCGAGCGAACGGACGAGAAGCUUGCUUCUCUGAUGUUAGCGGCGGACGGGUGAGUAACACGUGGAUAACCUACCUAUAAGACUGGGAUAACUUCGGGAAACCGGAGCUAAUACCGGAUAAUAUUUUGAACCGCAUGGUUCAAAAGUGAAAGACGGUCUUGCUGUCACUUAUAGAUGGAUCCGCGCUGCAUUAGCUAGUUGGUAAGGUAACGGCUUACCAAGGCAACGAUGCAUAGCCGACCUGAGAGGGUGGUCGGCCACACGGGAACUGAGACACGGUCCAGACUCCUACGGGAGGACGCAGUAGGGAAUCUUCCGCGAAGGGCGAAAGCCUGACGGAGCAACGCCGCGUGAGUGAUGAAGGUCUUCGGAUCGUAAAACUCUGUUAUUAGGGAAGAACAUAUGUGUAAGUAACUGUGCACAUCUUGACGGUACCUAAUCAGAAAGCCACGGCUAACUACGUG